Molecule: ribosomal RNA, 253 nt
Filed under: uncultured bacterium
Lineage: Bacteria
Description: partial 16S ribosomal RNA
Rfam family: Bacterial small subunit ribosomal RNA
Source: RNAcentral
AACGUAGGAGACAAACGUUAUCCGGAGUUACUGGGCGUAAAGGGCGUGUAGGCGGUCUGUUAAGUCUGGCGUGAAAGCUCUCGGCUAAACCGGGAGAGGUCGUUGGAUACUGGCAGACUAGAGGACGGUAGAGGCGUGUGGAAUUCCGGGUGUAGUGGUGAAAUGCGUAGAGAUCCGGAGGAACACCAGUGGCGAAGGCGACACGCUGGGCCGUACCUGACGCUAAGGAGCGAAAGCGUGGGGAGCGAACAGG